GAGUCUCUUGCCAUCGACAUCCAGCUGAGUGAUUUGUUUGUUGUGUUGGAGAUCCAAGCUUACACAGAGUGCCGUGGUGUUUUGCCUUGGAGUCGUGUUGGGUGACGUAGUGGAGAAGCUGGGUGAGUUGGCAUGGGGCCGUGUGCUAUGUAUGUGUGAUUUAAAACAAGCUACUUUGUGUGUGUAUAUAGCAGAUCAGAGACGACGGGACACUAGGCACUGACGAGUAAUGUUUUGUAUGUUUGUUUGAUUUGUAGGCAUCGUGUACGCCACUGUUUGUAUGCCGCAUUUUGCUUUGCACUGUUUGUAUGCCGCAUUUUGCUUUGUACUGUUUGUGUCUCGCAUAUUGUUUUGUACUGUUGGUGAGCCGACGUGUCUCUGAAUAGUUUAUUUAUGUAAAUUAAAGAUCGGAUGUUUCCUAUACUUAAACACAAGUCUUUGGCAAUCAAUUCAUAUCGACCUCACAAUACUGUGUCGCUGAAGACAACGCUCCAGAACGCGGCUUCACUCCACAAUCAGCAAUGGACGGCUACCGGCAUAAGGACCCAAGGUGUAUAUAUCUAUGUCUGUUGGCACUAAACUAAUUGGAACCCAGCCCAAGCCCCUACUAGUGACGUACACACAGGAGAAAGGUGACAGAGGUGAAUCAAAAUAAAAGUUCGCUACACCCAUUGGUCCCACCGGCUACAAGAAGAAGAAAAAGAAAAAAAAGAAGAAAAAGAAGAAACUUUGACAAGCACUACACAAGCGCCCUGCAUGACGCAUCAUGCCAUAAUAAGCGAAUACAAAGGUGCUGAUGUUUGUGUGCCUGAGAGUGUAGUCUGAGACGCAAGAUAUCAUAUAUGCUCACUGUGGAGUGAAUUCUGGUAUGUUUUAGUCAAGUGGGUGCCUGGCACAUAGACUUGGAUGGGUAGGCCUACAUUUCAGUUUUUUGGUGAUUGGAGAUUAUUGAGAGUUAUUCCACCACCAUCAACAGUUUCAAUGAUAUUCUUAUCUUUAGUACAUUAUUUGUAUUUAAUUUGAGUUCAGAGGAACUGUUAAUAUUGACCACACAUGUCAUGCCAAUAAACCUUUAACCUGUGAUUCAA
This is a long non-coding RNA of Clupea harengus (Atlantic herring), 1088 nucleotides long. RefSeq lists it as uncharacterized. The transcript has 2 exons. The record is from RefSeq and is a predicted model, not a curated record. NCBI's taxonomy places the organism in Eukaryota, Metazoa, Chordata, Actinopteri, Clupeiformes, Clupeidae.